This 484-nucleotide ribosomal RNA is filed under the name uncultured bacterium. Its description in RNAcentral is "partial 16S ribosomal RNA". It matches the Rfam family "Bacterial small subunit ribosomal RNA", at positions 30 to 507 of the family's 1533-position model. The record is from RNAcentral.
AUUGAACGCUGGCGGCAGGCCUAACACAUGCAAGUCGAGCGGAUGAAGGGAGCUUGCUCCUGGAUUCAGCGGCGGACGGGUGAGUAAUGCCUAGGAAUCUGCCUGGUAGUGGGGGAUAACGUCCGGAAACGGGCGCUAAUACCGCAUACGUCCUGAGGGAGAAAGUGGGGGAUCUUCGGACCUCACGCUAUCAGAUGAGCCUAGGUCGGAUUAGCUAGUUGGUGGGGUAAAGGCCUACCAAGGCGACGAUCCGUAACUGGUCUGAGAGGAUGAUCAGUCACACUGGAACUGAGACACGGUCCAGACUCCUACGGGAGGCAGCAGUGGGGAAUAUUGGACAAUGGGCGAAAGCCUGAUCCAGCCAUGCCGCGUGUGUGAAGAAGGUCUUCGGAUUGUAAAGCACUUUAAGUUGGGAGGAAGGGCUGUAAGUUAAUACCUUGCUGUUUAGACGUUACCAACAGAAUAAGCACCGGCUAACUUCGUG